UACGGAGGGUGCAAGCGUUAAUCGGAAUUACUGGGCGUAAAGCGCGCGUAGGUGGUUUGAUAAGCGAGAUGUGAAAGCCCCGGGCUUAACCUGGGAACGGCAUUUCGAACUGUCAGGCUAGAGUAUGGUAGAGGAGUGUGGAAUUUCCUGUGUAGCGGUGAAAUGCGUAGAUAUAGGAAGGAACACCAGUGGCGAAGGCGGCACUCUGGACCAAUACUGACACUGAGGUGCGAAAGCGUGGGGGAGCAGAACGAGGUAAUUACCGAUACCCCGGUACGUCC
RNAcentral lists this ribosomal RNA (281 nucleotides) under uncultured bacterium. Its description in RNAcentral is "partial 16S ribosomal RNA". It matches the Rfam family "Bacterial small subunit ribosomal RNA", at positions 524 to 796 of the family's 1533-position model. The record is from RNAcentral.